RNAcentral lists this ribosomal RNA (593 nucleotides) under uncultured bacterium. RNAcentral describes it as "bacterial SSU rRNA". It matches the Rfam family "Bacterial small subunit ribosomal RNA", at positions 8 to 612 of the family's 1533-position model. The record is from RNAcentral.
AGAGUUUGAUCAUGGCUCAGAGUGAACGCUGGCGGCGUGCCUAACACAUGCAAGUCGAACGAGAACGGGUUACAGUUUACUGUAACUGUCAGCUAAGUGGCGCACGGGUGAGUAAUAUAUAGUUAAUCUGCCCCAAAGAAGAGAAUAAUUGUUGGAAACGACUUGUAAUGCUCUAUAUGCCUUUAUCACAUAAGUGAGCAAGGGAAACAUUUAUGGCUUUGGGAUGAGACUGUACGGUAUCAGCUAGUUGGUGAGGUAAUGGCUCACCAAGGCUAUGACAUCUAACUGGUUUGAGAGGAUGAUCAGUCACACUGGAACUGAGACACGGUCCAGACUCCUACGGGAGGCAGCAGUGGGGAAUAUUGCACAAUGGAGGAAACUCUGAUGCAGCAACGCCGCGUGGAGGAUGACACAUUUCGGUGCGUAAACUCCUUUUAUUAGGGAAGAUAAUGACGGUACCUAAUGAAUAAGCACCGGCUAACUCCGUGCCAGCAGCCGCGGUAAUACGGGGGGUGCAAGCGUUACUCGGAAUCACUGGGCGUAAAGAGAAUGUAGGCUGGUUAUUAAGUUGGAAGUGAAAUCCUAUGGCUCAA